AUGGCUUUGUUCCUCCAUCCCACAGAUUUGAUUCCUGGAAACUCCUCAGUGUCUAUGGGACACAACUCCCCAGUGACUUUCUUUGUCCAUCCUCCUGGUCAUUGGAAGCUCCUUGGUGGCAUCGACACCUUCCCUUGGAGUCAGUGGGACAUGUUUCCCCAAUGGCUUUGUUCCUCCAUCUCAUGGCUUUGCUUCGCAGGCAGCGUGGAGCAGAGCUUUGCCAUCAGCUCAGUACCACUCAACCUCGACUGGGAUGGGCAUACGCCCCACAUCCAAGGCUCUUCCUCCCAUCCUAGGUAGGGUCAGAGAUGUUUCACCCCUUUUCCUCCUUCCUUUUUGCUCACCCCAAGUUCUACUAGCACUUUCGCAGGGGUGUUCGCAGCAUGAGAAAUGGCCAUUAUUUUACUGACUGUAUUUGGUACCUAUCGUGUGAUACUUGAAGAGAUCGGGGCGUUUUGCCCUCCAUCAGAGUCUAAACUCUCUUUUAUUUUCUUUUUUUUUUUCCCCCCUUUUUUUCUUGCGUUGUGAUGUAGUGGGCACAUCUGCCCCCGCUGACAAAAUGCCUCUUCUCUAAGAGUAUAACCUCUCCGGUAGUUGUGUAUAAUGACAGAACUGUAAACUUUUUUUAAAAUAAAAAAUAUGUAUAUACCUCAGAGGCUGCCUGGUGCUUGAGCUUCAUGCAGGAAGGGGUCCUCUACCCCACGUCAUUGGCUCUGUGGGAUUUAUGGCACCCGUGGGGCAUUUUUUGGGUUGGGGAUGAGCUCUUGGCUGAUGGAAAAUAAAUCAUCGUGGCUGAUGACUGAAAAUGGGGCUGCAUGGGUUUGGAUGCUGGGCACACACCUGUUUUUCUGUGGAAUCAUUAGGUUUGGAAAAGACCUCUGUGGUGGCCACCCAGUCCAGCCAUCAACCCAUCACCACCAUGCCCACUCAUGGAAUCACUGAGGCUGGAAAAGAUUGCUGAGAUCAUGGAGUCCAACCAUCAACCCAACACCAAAAACCUCUGGGAUCAAUCCUCUAGUCCAAUCUUCAACCCAUCACCAACCCCUAUGCCCACUACACCACGUCCCUAAAUCCCAUGUGUGAUGUUUGGCUUGAUGUUGGAUGGAAAUUGGGACAUAGGAUGAUGCAUGUAGGGAUGUGAGUUCCCCAACCAUUGGUGUUUUGUGGGGCAGGACAAGGGGAAAGGGGAUGCAAGCCCAUUACUGGGCCAUGGUCUCAUAUGUGGCUUGUCCCCCUUGCCCCCCAUCC
RNAcentral lists this long non-coding RNA (1248 nucleotides) under Meleagris gallopavo (turkey). Its description in RNAcentral is "lncRNA (ENSMGAG00000017589.1)". The record is from RNAcentral. Lineage: Eukaryota; Metazoa; Chordata; Aves; Galliformes; Phasianidae.